CACCAGCUGAUCUAGAAAGGCAUCUUGCUCCACCUGGAGCAGAAAUCUGCCACACAGAUGUAAGAGAAGGAGAAGAUGUCAAGAUUCCGACGAUAUCACAGACAUCGCAGCAAGAAAGGUGGUUGCCGUAAAGGAAAAGGACGUGGUAGGAAGCGAGGCAGGACAAAAAAAGGUGGUCGUGGAGGCAAAAAGAGAACAGGUGAUAGUUUAGUAGUUAUCUUACAUUCUGUACUGUAGUAUGUAUCCGUCUGGAAGGGAAUAACAUGUUGAUGACAUGCACAUUCCUUUAGAACUCUGCCAAUUCUCUUUCAAUCCAAGAGAUGACUUUAUGUCAAAUGGUCUUCUGUCAACCAGUAAAGGAGGGGUAAGCCAAUUGGGUGCCCUCUGGUACCUCAGCCCCUAUCAACUGCAGUCAGCAUGGCCCAUGAUCUGGGAUGAUGGGAGUUGUAGUCAGUGGCAGAGCAAGCCAGUUGGGUGCCUGGGGAGGCGUGCAUGCCCUGCACCCAGGGACAGGGCCAGCCACGCACACGGGGCGGUGUGGGGCAAGCCGGGGCAGGACGCUCCGCAGGGCCUCUGAGGAGUCUGCCUGCCUCCUCCCACUCAGCUGCCCUACAGCUGAGGGGGGCGGUGGCGGGCGAACUGUUUGCAGGCCCUGCGGUGAGUGCCGCCCGGCAUUUUGCCACCCCCCUCAGUGGUGACAUCCGGGACAACCCGCCCCCACCACACCCGUUCCUCCGCCCCUGGUUGUAGCCCAACCACUUCUGGAGGACACCAUGUUUGCUACCCUUGCAAGUAGAGUGUUUCAGAUGAAAACAAGAAAUGUGUUACAUGUGACACAUGCACCUUCAUAGGAUUAGAAUCAAAUAUUUAGGGAGGAAACAAGGAACAGGUGAAACUUGUUUAGCUCUUCUCCACCGUCUUUCUGCCCACUAGCUUGAAAUUCGGUGACUUUUUUUAUAUUUGUGCAGACACAUCUGCUCUAAAGUCUUAUGCAGACACAUAAUGGGGUUUUGGGUGGGGGUGUGUGUUAGCUGUGACGUUCCUGUACACCUAUGGGGUUUGCAGUGGGUAGCCCAUUGCUGCCUCCUGGGGAAAAAGUUUCUAUGUGAAAUCUGUGUGUAUGUUUGUGCAUGUUACCUGCUUACCAUAUUACCCUAACCUUUGAAAAAACCAUGAUCAUAUUGUUUAUUAACUGAAACAAACAAACAAGCUGAUCAUUCCCAUCAUUAAAGGAGGUUCCAUGGUUAAUUUUGCUCAGGAAACUGUGUAGCUUCCCUCUCCUCCUCAGUGUUAGUCACGCAUGAUCUUGCUAGGCUAUCUUAGUUCAGCCGUCCCAAACCUGGUGCAUGCAAGUUGUAGCCACCAAAAUAACAUGAAAAUCUGGAAGGCAGCAAGUUUAGUGAGACUGUUCUAGGGCACCCAGCAACUUCCUUAUUCAUUGCCUUCUGGGGCUUGGCUACACUCCUACUGCUGCUAAGGGUACCCAUGUUUUGGGGGCCUGGAGGAUGCUAAGAUGGUUAGAUGUCUAAAAGUGACCCAGCUGGCACCAGCACGCAGUGUAAUUGUGCAAAUCCUGAGGCCCUAGCAGAGACCGUCAUUGGUGUCAGUGGGCUUGGUAAAGCCUCAACGCAGAGGGGAAUGUAAGAUCUGAACAGCUGGGGUUAUUCUUGCCAUCAUUUUACCUCUUUUAGAAUUGCUCGAAUGUUUGCUUUGUAUGACAUUGAUGUACAAAACAUGGAGGUUGAUAGAAGUGACUAGAAGAGUGCUUUGUACAAAGGGCUGCUCUUUCCCAUGCUCAGCUUGCCCAGGGUGCAGGAUUUCAGUGCCUAAAGACAUAAUGAUGCACAUAUAUCUCUACUGGUUAUGGCACUGUCCAUCCCCACAACACAAAGUGGCACAGUCCAUUCUACCAAUUUAUCCAAUUGGUACCCUUGGGCAUAUAGUUUUGAUUCACCAGGAGACACCCACUAAUGGUGAAAGAGGGGUGGUGAUUUUUGCCAUUUCCCCUUCCUUCCUCUAGCCCCUAGAGCCCUUAAAAUCUGUUCUGGAGCUUCUCCUCUCCAUCUAAGUUGCCUCCCCUUCUCUUCUAUUAGUAGGGGAGCACUAGGAUGAGUUUUUGGAUUCCACCACAGGCCUCUGUAUAUGUCUGUUGAGUUGAGAUUGUGCUGGAGGAGUUGUGUGGUGAUGGCUUUGACAUGUUCACUUAAAGAUGUGGUAAAUCAGGUUGCUGAGUGUAAAAAACAUCUAGAUAUGACCAUAAAAAGAAAUCACCAUCAACUACAAAUGAAGCAUUUGAUUUGAUAAGUUUUUGAGACAGAUUUCUUACAUCCAUGCUCUUUAACUACUUAAAUUGUAGUUAAACUAUAAAGUUUUCAGUGACAAAGCAUGCAUUUUUGCUAAAAUUGCUGUUACCUGUCUCCUGAUCAUAUUAUGGAAGGGAGGGAGGGAGGGAGGAUCACUUUAUGAGCAUUGCAAUAUGGAUGUUUAUUUUAUUUAUAUAUUUAUAUGCUGUCUUUCUGAAUUAGGUCCACCCAACGUAGCCAAUAAGAGAUAAGCAUAGAAAUAAAAUAAAGUCGUCUUUAUUUUAUUGAUUUACAUUUUUUAAAAAUGCUCCACUUUUCCCCUCCAAGAAAAAGUUAUUCAAAGUGGCUUUAUCAAAAUAUAAACAGGAACACAAAAAUAAGAAUAAUUCAUCAUAAAAAACAUGGUUUUCUGACUAAAAGCAACAUCAUGGAACAAGGAGACAAAAGAGCCAAUACCAACAAUUAGCCAGUUAUAUGCAGCAAAAAAACCAGCCAGCAGAAUACAAAAAAGGAGGCUGAUUGCCACUUCUUAGGUGGGAUGCUACCACAGAGAAAGCCCUCACUUGUGCCACCACCAUAUGUGCCUCAGAAGGCAGCAACACAUGCAAUAAGGAUGCAGCAGAUGAUCUUAAGGCACAUUCACAUAGGAAGAGAUGGUUCUUUUAGUACCUUGGUUCCAAGCUUUCCAGAGGCCAGAACCAGCACUUUGAAUUGCGCCCAGAAACGAACUGGCAGCCAAUGCAGUCCAGAAAAUAUAUGUUUCCUGUGAUCCCAGCAAUUUGCCCCAGAAGAAGCAUCCUGUGCCAACUGAUGUUUCCCAGUGGUUUUCAAAGGCAGCCCCACAUAAGAUGCACGGCAGCAGCCCAAUCAAAAAGUAACAACUAAUGCACGUAGGACCAGGGUGCAUUCUGAUCAUAUCAAGACAAGCAGGGGAAUUUCAAAAUUUUAAAAAAUGUAAGAAACCAAAAAUACAUUAAAAUCAGGGGUGGUUUUUUUGUUCAAUCAGAACUCACUGGAACUCAGUACCAGCACCUCUCAGGUGGGCACCAUUGCCAUUAUAAGAGAACAAGGGAGGCAUUCAUGUUGAGUUCUGGCACCUCUUUUCCUAGAAAAAUAGCACUAAUUAAAAUAAAAUUCUGCUGGUAUCUCCGCAGCAAUAAAACACCAACAAAAUGGCGGCAUGAUUAAUAAACUAAGUUGAAAGUGAUGAGAAGUUGGUUGGUUUUCAAAGCUUUCUUAAAUCCUGCUAUUGAGAGUGCCAUCUUGGGGGAGAGUUCCAUAAGGAAGAGGCCACUACUGAUAAGACUCUGUAAAUUAACAUGGGCUGUUUUUUUUUCUUUGAAAAAAAAAAAAAGAAUGGUGGAUCAGGACCAUGAAUGUACUGACGUUUCUCAUUGUUCUUUCUUGCCUUCAAGGCCGUCACCACUACAGGAGGUGUGUGCUAUACUAACUGGACCGGUUUGGAACAAAGGAGUCCUAGCAAUGUAAUCACUGACUGAGCAGAACUGACAUCUUUCUCCAAACAAGUCAUCAGCGUACAGGGUCAGGAAAUGUUAGAAAACGUUUCCAAUUAAACCUACCUGGGCUGGAAUUUCUGCAGCAUCUUUAUGUGUUA
This 3918-nucleotide long non-coding RNA is filed under the name Podarcis lilfordi (Lilford's wall lizard). Lineage: Eukaryota; Metazoa; Chordata; Lepidosauria; Squamata; Lacertidae. The record is from RNAcentral.